RNA transcript from Periophthalmus magnuspinnatus, 4538 nucleotides. It is a transcript of the gene named androgen receptor-like, with no coding region annotated. Lineage: Eukaryota; Metazoa; Chordata; Actinopteri; Gobiiformes; Gobiidae. The transcript has 10 exons. The record is from RefSeq and is a predicted model, not a curated record.
UUCAACCGGGAGCGCGCGCGGAGUUCACGCGGGGUAAAGGCGACACGCGCACGCGCUCGGGGCGGAAAAAAAACGGAGACUUUGAAAAGUUGUAGGAGGCGCAGAGCCGGAGCCAGAGGAGAACGAAGAGGAGAACGAAAAGGAGAACGAAAAGGAGAACGAAAAGGAGAACGAAGACAACGGCUCCAGGAUGUACACUGCCCCACGCAGGCGCCCCAUGUGAGUGCGCUCGUGCACACUCUGGAGGCUGGAGGCGUUCUCUCUCUCUCUCUCUCUCUCUCUCUUUUCUCUGCUCCUCUUUUUCUUACCAACUCCUGCCAAAAGUGACGACACGUUGAGCCAUGUCGUUCCACAUGAGUCUGUCUGAUCUGGACUCUUCUGUCCUGCUGCGCGAGGACCGCGCGGACACCACAGACACCUGCGCGUGCCCGAGCACCGUGGAGCUCAGUCAGGCCGUGUCCGUGUCUCUCGGGCUGGAUCCGGUGUCUUCUCCUCUCAACAACAACAGAAACGGAAACGGCGGCGCCGCUUUCUCCGAGUUCGAGCCGAGCGCGAGGAGCGGCCCCGGGGACUCCCCCGACAUGAACCGGGACGGACUCGGACUCAGAGAGGACGAGUUUGGUGAAGUUUGCCAGGGCAUGCAGCAGGUGAGCUGUUUGGACAUGCUGCGCUCGCCCGACGCGGACCGCGCGCCCGGCUUUACGCGCGGCCCCGUUAUCACGCGGUUCGUGGGUCGAGAUUCAAACUUGUUCCUGAGUCCGGAGCCCCCCGCCCCGCAGCACACGGACGGGAUGAUUCCGCUGAGCCCGUACACGGCCCCCGCGACCCACCCGGGGGUACACGCGUGGCGCCCGAACGAGCGCGCGUACGGCGAGGGAACCGACCCGGAGCGCGCCGUGUGCGCCCUGCCCGCGGCGCCGCUCACCGGGCCGUGUAAAUACUGUAACUGCGCGCGUGGAGCGCGGCAGGACUGUCGCUGCGCGUGGUACGGGCCCGAGCAGCAGGUCGGAAAAGGCGCCACGCGCCCGGACUACGGACAAGUGGAAAGUUACCAAAGUGUGAUGACCCACGGACACGCGCCUUUCUCCAGCAUCAAAACAGAACCCGCGGUGUGGGUGGACUGCACUGACCACAGCACUGACCACAGCACUGACCACAGCACUUACCACAGCUUCAGGCACUCGGACCUGUUCCCCGGAGUGUACUUGUCCGAUCGACGCGUUUGUCAGGUUUGUGGGGACGAUGCUUCAGGCUGUCACUAUGGAGCCGUCACCUGUGGAAGCUGCAAAGUGUUCUUCAAAAGAGCGGCAGCAGGUAAACAAAACCACCUGUGUGCGAGUAGAAACGACUGCACCAUCGACAAACUGAGACGGAAAAACUGUGCCUCGUGUCGACUCAAACGAUGCUUCAUGUCUGGAAUGAGUCUGAAAGGUCGCAGGCUGAAGGGCGCGGGCCAGAGCAGACAUGGCGAGGACGAGCCGACAGGCGCCGCUCACUGGGGGGAGAGAGCGGAGAGGGCAGGUACAAAAGACCCGGAGCCAGGAAGCAGCGGCGCAUCCAGGCCCCAGAACGGCUUGUCUCAGGCGUCCUCCCUGAGCAUCCCCCCCUCGCUGCGCUCCUGUAUGUCCCUCCUGAGUGUCCUACAGACCAUAGAGCCGGCCGUGGUCAACGCGGGGCACGAUAACACCCAGAUGGACAGCCCCUCGUCCCUCCUGACCAGCCUGAACGAGCUCGGAGAGAGGCAGCUGGUCACCGUGGUGCGCUGGGCCAAGGCCAUCCCAGGGUUCCGGGACCUUCAUGUGGACGACCAGAUGACCGUGAUCCAGCUCUCGUGGAUGAACGUGAUGGUUUUCGCUCUGGGCUGGAGGUCGUACACUCUGACCAACAGUAGCAUGUUGUACUUCGCCCCUGACCUGGUCUUCAACGACCAGCGGAUGCACGUGUCCAGUAUGUACGACCACUGUGUUCGUAUGAAGGUUCUGUCUCAGCAGCUGUGUGUCCUGAAGGUCACACAGGAGGAGUUCCUCUGUAUGAAGGCCCUGGUCCUGUUCAGCAUCAUGCCGGUGGAGGGUCUGAAGAGUCAGAGAUGUUUUGACGAUCUCAGGACGUCGUACAUUAAAGAGCUGGAGCGUUUGGCGAGUCACCACGGCGACGGCGCCCGGACGCAGCGGCUGUUCCAGCUCACGCAGCUGCUGGACUACCUACAGGCGGUGGUGAAGAAGCUUCAUCAGUUCACGUACGACCUCUUCAUCGAGGCGCAGUCGCUCCAGACUCGUGUCAACUUUCCGGAGAUGAUUUCCGAGAUCGUGAGCGUCCACGUUCCCAAAAUCCUCUCUGGGAUGGUCAAGCCGAUCCUGUUUCACAAAACGGCCUAAGGGAUAAACCACUAAACUUUAUCCACCUGAAACGACAGGUGUCUGACCAGUGCUGCGGUCAGCCCGUGCCACUGUGUGACAUCAUGAGGUGAAAUGAAUAAGCUCUUUAUGGUUGAACUUCCACUUUAUUCAAAUGUAAAAAUAUCUGCUCUUCUCGCUCUUUGUUUGUUGUACUUUUCUGAAGCUCAGACUCGUUUGGUGAAGGUCGGGACGAUGUUUAAAAUAUUAAAGCUUUAUUACGCAGCUUUUCUCUGGUAAAUGAGUAAAGUGUUUGGUAAAAGCAGCACUUUGUGACAUAAUCAGACGUCUACAGCAGCUCGACGAUCACGAACGACACAGAGAUGGACAGAAAGAAUGAGAGAAUGAGAUGGACAGAACGAGAUGGAUGGACAAAGAGAUGGACAGAUGGACAGAUGGACAGAUGGACAGAUGGACAGGUGGAAACACGAUUAUGAAAUGUCAAAGCCGACAGCUGUUUUCAUACAGACGACAUCCAGCCAUGAGACAAAUAAAACACUAAAACAAACGUGACGUCACAUGACUCCGGGGGUGAGAGCUGAUUGGCUGAGCUCGUUCUUAAACUGUGUGAGUUUGAGUCGGAUUCAGUUUGUUUGAUUUAAAAAAACAACUUUUACUUUGUGUUUUCAUCAUGAGGCGCCGCAGGUUUAGUGCAAAUGUCAGAAACGACAAAAUGGAACUCGAACCUGCAACACCGUCAUGGACCUCUAGAGGGCGCUGCAGUGCGAAGUGUGAAGUGUGUUGCCCAAAAGCACAAUGGAAACCGCACUCAGGAAAAAUUUAAAUAAUGAGGCACUGCUCGAGAAUCUCCCUGGAACCAAAACACAAGGAAUCGAUUCAACACAAGGAAUCGAUUCAACACAAGGAAUCGAUUCAACACAAGGAAUCGAUUCAACACAAGAAUCAAAGGGCUAAAAGUUGAUUUUCUCGUGUCGCUUCGUCCCGAGUUCGACUUCGUGACCAGAUUAAACAUUUACAUUCUGUAUCGUCGGCCAUUUUGUGUUUUAGACUAACUACAAAUACACUACACCUACAAAACACCUACAAAACACCUACACUACACCUACACUACAACUACAAAACACCUACACUACACCUACACUACACCUACACUACACCUACACUACAACUACAAACCACCUACAAAACACCUACACUACACCUACACUACACCUACACUACACCUACAAAACACCUACACUACACCUACAAACCACCUACAAAACACCUACACUACACCUACACUACAACUACAAAACACCUACACUACACCUACACUACACCUACACUACACCUACACUACAACUACAAACCACCUACAAAACACCUACACUACACCUACACUACACCUACACUACACCUACAAAACACCUACACUACACCUACAAACCACCUACAAAACACCUACACUACACCUACAAACCACCUACAAAACACCUACACUACACCUACACUACACCUACACUACACCUACAAAACACCUACACUACACCUACAAACCACCUACAAAACACCUACACUACACCUACAAAACACCUACAAAACACCUACACUACACCUACACUACAACUACAAAACACCUACACUACACACUAGCAGGUGUGUGUGUCACCGCGUGUGCAUCCAGUAGGACAGAUCACAGACCAUUACAGUGCUGUGUCCAGUCCGUGUCCAGUCCGUGUCCAGUCCGUGUCCAGUCCGUGUCCAGUCCGUGUCCAGUCCGUGUCCAGUCCGUGUGCAGCUCUUUCUCCUGUGACGUCUCGUUGUGCUCAGUGAACAGUUGUCGUUGUUGUGGUCAGUUUUGAAGCUUUUUUUUUUUUUUACUUGGGGCUAAACUUUUUUCAUCCAUAAAAUAAAACGUUGAAGCCAAAAUGUUUGUAUUUCAGACGUGAUGUACAGGCCACGUUUUCCUCCGAUCAUGUUCCAAUGAAUAUUUAUACAUUUUCAGAUUGAACAGAUAAUUGUGUUGUGUUUUUUAGGCUUUGCUCUUGUGACGUUUUGAACAUAAACGACUUUUCUACCCUUUUCUUAAAGUGAACUUUGUAAACACGUCUGUGUUUGUCCUGCUGCCAAAAAAGACAAAUCUGACAAAUGUCAAAACUGUAUCUGCAUUUUACUGCGUCAAUAAAAUAUGAGCAUGACAUC